RNAcentral lists this ribosomal RNA (99 nucleotides) under Ditylenchus destructor. Its description in RNAcentral is "partial 28S ribosomal RNA". It matches the Rfam family "Eukaryotic large subunit ribosomal RNA", at positions 1 to 98 of the family's 3401-position model. Lineage: Eukaryota; Metazoa; Nematoda; Chromadorea; Rhabditida; Anguinidae. The record is from RNAcentral.
UUCGACCUGAAUCUGACGUGAUUACCCGCUGAACUUAAGCAUAUCAGUAAGCGGAGGAAAAGAAACUAACAAGGAUUCCCUUAGUAACGGCGAGUGAAA